CUCUGAGCUCUUACCAAAACAUAAAACAUGGCGGACAAUUUCUCUCGCCUUGGAUCUGAAACCAGUAGUAACCACCAACUUCAAUCAGUUAUUAUGACUAACAAUUGAAAUAGGAAUCUGACAUUCCCGCCGAGGAGGGCAUGCUAGCUAGCUACCGUGUUUUGAUUCAUAUCAGGCAUUUUCUUAUGAAACAGCUCAACUAGCUCGACUCGGGAGCUCAUCAUGCCAGGGGACAUACUGUAGGCUUCCGGAGCCAGCUAGUUAUUAUUCCACCAUGGGCAACAACAACUAGUUACCAGUUCGUUUAACUAAAUAUGUUCCAACUCAUAGCUAGUUUAUCCAGUGACCACCGCAUUUAGAAAGAUAGCAACUGACUGAACUCUAGCAAGCUGGCUAGCUAGCAUGCUAGCUCACACUGGCCAUGUAGUAGCCAAUACCAGACCGGUUGUGGAAAGUACCCCUCCCUCUCUCGGGGUCUGAGGGGAGGGUUCAUCUCCCUGGACACCAUGUCUGUCAGCCCCACAGGGCCAAUCGGUUGUAUAAACCCAGACACAGCGGCUACGCCUUCCUUUGAUGUCAACCAACGAGACCAGAAAUGUGUAUUCUGUGCCUCGAGGGCAAAGCCUUCCCACAAAACCAGUGUUAACCAUCAUGCAUCACUGGAGCUCCUGCAUGUCUGCAUAUUCUACCACCGCUCUCCUCUCUCAGACUUCUCAGUCUCUGUUCACACUUUAUGUAGUGUCAUCUAGUAUGGAAAGGAGGCAACAAUGGCUCUCCCGACUGAAGAGUGAAUUCGGCAACAGCCCCUUGGUCUCCAACGUGGCUUUCGGCUUCAUCCUGAUGGGCUUGGAGAAGCUGGUUGAGCUGGAGUUCGAGUGUCCGUGCGACCCCAAAUGGAACGGGCUAUUUUCUUCCGCCUUCUUCGUCAUUCCUGCUAUCAUGGCCUUCAUGCUGAUGCUAAUCAUCCAGGACUGCAGGUACGACCUGAGCGGCUGCCCCAGGACAGUGUCCAUCUCCAGCCUGGUUCCGCCCAUCGUCUGGCUGAUCCUGCUCUUCCUGGAUGGACAGUACUUUGCGUGUGCGCUAACAGACUGGAACGGCAGGUUUGUGAUUGUUGACAAGGCGGCUCCUCAGAAGUGGUGUGAGCCUCCUCAUGACGAUGGCACGCUGCAGGAUCUCAUGGUGCACUCUCAGGAAUUAUUUGUGGAGUCUCAGGUUAUUGGUAUUGCUCUGUUGAUAUUCAUCUGUGUGGGACUCAUAGUGUACGUGAUCAGAGAGAGCUGCCAGCAGGAAGAGGAACUCCAGGAAGUCAACAACACUUAUGAGAUGUAUGAGAUGACAUGACUUCGACAACAUCAUUAAGCCAAAACCAGUUUUUUGAAGCUAUGGGAGAGAAUUCAUAAUGUUUUCUCUUUCAAAUGCCUCAAGACUGCAAGACCUUGUCUCUCCAGCAACUUCUAAAGGGAAGGGAACACUGCCGGUACCUCCCUCUCCAACCAAGGAGCAUGAACAGAGGUGCAAACAGAGGAAAGGAGGAAAUUCACCAACUCUUGGCGAUAGAAAUACUUGUUCUUGUUAAAACCAACACGUUUUGGCCUGUAGCCUUCUUCAGGGUCCAGUGACUUUUACCUUUCCUGCAAACUGUACAUGAAUGUUAUACUUUUGAAAAUGAUACUUUUCUGAUGAACAGUUUUUUAAAGUAGCCGGAGGGUGGGGGUAUUUUUGUUGGUCUAUCUGCGCUUUAGAAAUGUUCUCUGUAGGUGUCAAUGUGUCCCAAUUUUUAUAAAUAUUAAAAUGUGUUAAGGUAUGGUCACGUUUGUAUGUAAGGUAGUUAUAGCAACUAAUAAAAUAAUGUUUUCCUACUUUUUUGAUAGAUUUGGUCAGGUUGCGUUGACAUCAAAUUGCCCAGCUAUCAUUUAUACUAAACAAUCAAAUAGGAGCUUUUACAAACAUUGG
Molecule: long non-coding RNA, 1956 nt
Filed under: Salmo salar (Atlantic salmon)
Lineage: Eukaryota; Metazoa; Chordata; Actinopteri; Salmoniformes; Salmonidae
Description: lncRNA (ENSSSAG00000120320.1, ENSSSAG00075020983.1)
Source: RNAcentral